This 1530-nucleotide ribosomal RNA is filed under the name metagenome. Its description in RNAcentral is "bacterial LSU rRNA". It matches the Rfam family "Bacterial large subunit ribosomal RNA", at positions 1291 to 2925 of the family's 2925-position model. The record is from RNAcentral.
AUUAUGCCGGAAUGAGUAGACGAUAAAACGGGUGAGAAUCCCGUUCGCCGUAAACCUAAGGUUUCCUGGGGAAGGUAAAUCCGCCCAGGGUUAGCCGGUGCCUAAGACAAGGCCGAAAGGCGUAGUCGAUGGGGAGCAGGUUAAUAUUCCUGCGCUCCUCGCACAAUACGGGACGUCGGUCCAAGGUGGUUUAGGCUUAGUAGAUUGCCUCAGGGCGUUUAAGAUCCCGAUAUCCACCGCGAGCCGACCAAGAAAACCGUGCGAGAAACCGUACUAAGACCGACACAGGUAGGUGAGAUGAAUAUUCUAAGGCGCUCGAGAGAACUCUCGUGAAGGAACUCUGCAAUUUAACUCCGUAACUUCGGGAAAAGGAGUGCCCCCGCAAGGGGGCCGCAGUGAAAAGGUUCUGGCGACUGUUUACUAAAAACACAGGUCUGUGCAAAGGCGUAAGCCGCGGUAUACAGACUGACGCCUGCCCGGUGCUGGUAAGUUAAGGGAGAGGGUUAGCCGCAAGGUGAAGCUCGCAACCGAAGCUCCAGUAAACGGCGGCCGUAACUAUGACGGUCCUAAGGUAGCGAAGUUCCUUGUCGGGUAAGUUCCGACCUGCAUGAAUGGCGUAACGACCGGAACACUUCUCCACGAGAGACUCGGUGAAAUUGUAGUUGUCGUGAAGAUGCGACAUACCCGCAGCUAGACGGAAAGACCCCGUGAACCUUAACUGCAGUUUGGUAUUGGGUUUAGACCCAGCAUGCGUAGUGUAGGUGGGAGACUAUGAACCGCGUAUUUCGGUACGUGGGGAGUCAACGAUGAAACACCACCCUUGCUGUGUUUGAAUUCUAACCUGUUGUUUGUAGCAACAGGGACCGUGCUAAGUGGGCAGUUUGAUUGGGGCGAUCUCCUCCCAAAAGGUAACGGAGGAGUGCAAAGGUACCCUCAGCCCGGUUGGCAAUCGGGCAUCGAGCGUAAAGGUAUAAGGGUGCUUGACUGCGAGUCCGAUGGGACGAGCAGGGACGAAAGUCGGCCUUAGUGAUCCGGUGGUUCCGGAUGGAAGGGCCAUCGCUCAACAGAUAAAAGGUACUCCGGGGAUAACAGGCUUAUCUCCUCUGAGCGUUCAUAGCGGCGAGGAGGUUUGGCACCUCGAUGUCGGCUCAUCACAUCCUGGGGGUGGAGAAGCUCCCAAGGGUUCGGCUGUUCGCCGAUGAAAGUGGUACGUGAGCUGGGUUUAGACCGUCGUGAGACAGGUCGGUCCCUAUCUGCUGUGGGCGGAGGAUACUUGCGGGGCUUUCUCCCUAGUACGAGAGGACUGGGAGGGACGCACCUCUGAUGUUCCAGUUGUGGCGCUAGCCGCAGCGCUGGGUAGUCACGUGCGGAUGGGAUAAACGCUGAAGGCAUAUAAGCGUGAAACUUCCCCCAAGAUCAGGUAUCCCGCGCAAGCGAAGGCUCCUCGUAGACUACGAGGUCGAUAGGCCGGGCGUGUAAGUGUGGCAACACACUCAGCUAACCGGUACUAACAGCCGAACGUUUGGCCGC